UACGGGGGGGGCAAGCGCUGUUCGGAAUUACUGGGCGUAAAGGGCGCGUAGGCGGCCUGCUAAGUCGGACGUGAAAUCCCCCGGCUCAACCGAGGAACUGCGUCCGAUACUGGUGGGCUCGAAUCCGGGAGAGGGAUGUGGAAUUCCAGGUGUAGCGGUGAAAUGCGUAGAUAUCUGGAGGAACACCGGUGGCGAAGGCGGCAUCCUGGACCGGUAUUGACGCUGGGGCGCGAAAGCCAGGGGAGCAAACGGG
This 253-nucleotide ribosomal RNA is filed under the name uncultured bacterium. RNAcentral describes it as "partial 16S ribosomal RNA". It matches the Rfam family "Bacterial small subunit ribosomal RNA", at positions 524 to 776 of the family's 1533-position model. The record is from RNAcentral.